UAGGCCCCCGCGAGGUUCUUGCCGCAGCCAAUAACGUCUCGUGGUUUCCCAGCCCAUUGUUGUUUAUUGCUGACCUCUCAGCGCUCCGCUAGGAGAUUGGCCGCUCCAGGGAAGGGGCGGAGCUUCUCCCGCCCCGGCAGCAACCUUUCGGCUCCAUUCACAAAAUUCCGGCCUUUCCUGGUCACGUGGUUGGGGGCGUGGAGGGGCAAGGGAAAUGACACAACAAAGGCCUAAGUUUCCCAAACCACAAAACUUUUUUCUACCUCGCUACCUCCUCUGUGAUUCGUCGCUGAGCAAAUACUCUAUGAGGAAAAGGAGCCUUAGGUCUGACAAGAGGAAAAGAAGUCGUAAAUUAAAGGAAGGCUCGCAUGGAGAUAAUCUCAGGGUGCACUCUCUAUGAGAAAAGCAGUGAAAGGCUUUUCGAGAAUUAAGUAGGUUGAGAAGAAAGCCUCAAGACAGACUAGUAACUUGCUGCUUCAAGCCAAUGCUUUUAGAAGUGCAAACAGUUCGAUUUCAGAUGGAUUUCAGUUUUCUCACCUAACUUCCUGAAAAGCCAAUAGACCCAGUUGCUGAAGAAUUGGAAGGACUAAAAAUCUGUUUUUCAAAAAAAGUUACCAUUGUGGAAAAUGUCUACAGAGGCAGCUGUUCUAUCCACAGAGAGGAACUUCAAAAGUUGCACAGAAUUUCCACUACUUCUGAAAACUUCUAGUAUUGUUUGUCAAAUCAGAGAAUAUUCUUUCAUGGCAGCUAUUAGCUGGAGCUGGACACUGCUACUCCUUAAGAAGCAACCUGUUCCACCCAGAAAAGAAGUUACUUAUGAAUGAAAGUCUUACCCUUGUUAGGAAAGAGGAGGAUCAUUUGAAUCAAUAAAGGAAGGCAUUAUCAGAAAGGCAUUCAGGAAGCAGAAUCCCAUGCCUCAGAACCACACUGGAAUCAAGGAGUUUCAUGGGACGACUGGAAGAUGGGGGAAGGCAACUUCAGUCAACAUGACUCCUAAAGACAUACUCAAUAUGCAAGCCUACUUCUUGAAAGCCUUUUAGAAGUGGCUUUUCCUUAAAGUUUACGGCAGAACCAACUCUAUAUCAGACACCAUGCUAAACUCUAUGCAGGGCACAGGUGGGUACUGAUUUCUCUGCUUUCCUUUACAUUUGUGUCCAGCUUGCUGUGUAUCUCCUUAAAUCCUUAAGGAACUUAUUAAACCAUGAAGAAUAAAGGAAAAAUAAAAAGCCUAGUCUGAAAUGUAAGCAGAAAGUCUCUUAAAGAUACAAUAUAUAUACUUGAAAAAAUACAUCGAAUGAGAGCUAAAGAAUGUCUUUAAUUCCUUUAAAAGAAUAAUUCAUCACUGAUGCUGGACAUUUGGACAUGAGAGAGAUACAUUGGAUAAUCCUUCAAGGUCGCAGUCCAGACAUGUACUCUGGCCUAUGCUUCAGUAUAAACUUUUCAUUGUUUAAUAACAUGGAGAGAGCCUGGAAGCUUUUCAUAGAAAUGGAAGACAUAGAACAAGGUGCCAAAAUUAUUUAUUUAGGAUAUGAUGAUUCAUUGGGAACCAAAGAGAAUCAACUAAAAUUGUUUUAAAACCAACGUAUAAAUACAAAAAGUGGAUACAAAAUAAAUAUAUCUACAUGAAUAACAUUCUUACAUUUAUUUUAUUUUAAAUUUUCUAAUGUUUAUUUAUUUUUGUGAGAGAGAGACAGAAUGCAACCAGGGGAGGGGCAGAGAGAGAAGCAGACACAGAAUCUGAAGUAGGAUCCAGGCUGUCAGCACAGAGCCUGAUAGGGGACGUGAACUUGAGAGCCAUGAGAUCAUGACCUAAGCCAAAGUCAGACUCUCAACUGACUGGGCCACCCAGGCGCCUCUGAAUAAUAUUCUU
This is a long non-coding RNA of Acinonyx jubatus (cheetah), 1870 nucleotides long. RefSeq lists it as uncharacterized. The record is from RefSeq and is a predicted model, not a curated record. The transcript is spliced from 6 exons. Lineage: Eukaryota; Metazoa; Chordata; Mammalia; Carnivora; Felidae.